This 253-nucleotide ribosomal RNA is filed under the name uncultured bacterium. RNAcentral describes it as "partial 16S ribosomal RNA". It matches the Rfam family "Bacterial small subunit ribosomal RNA", at positions 524 to 776 of the family's 1533-position model. The record is from RNAcentral.
UACGUAGGGUGCAAGCGUUGUCCGGAAUUAUUGGGCGUAAAGCGCGUGUAGGCGGCUUGUUAAGUCCGCUCUGAAAGCCCGGGGCUCAACCCUGGGAGGCGGGUGGAUACUGGCAAGCUCGAGUCCGGAAGAGGCGAGUGGAAUUCCUGGUGUAGCGGUGAAAUGCGCAGAUAUCAGGAGGAACACCAAUGGCGAAGGCAGCUCGCUGGGACGUGACUGACGCUGAGACGCGAAAGCGUGGGGAGCAAACAGG